RNAcentral lists this ribosomal RNA (1154 nucleotides) under Brachydiplax chalybea flavovittata. RNAcentral's name for it is "partial 16S ribosomal RNA". The record is from RNAcentral. Lineage: Eukaryota; Metazoa; Arthropoda; Insecta; Odonata; Libellulidae.
AAUAUUAUCUUACUUUAUUUAUUUUUUGUUUAUUUUAGAAGUAUCUAUUUUUUUAGUAUUUUAUAGAACAAAUUAAUUCUGUUAUAGAGUAUUAGUACUGUGGAGGAAAGAUGAAAUAGUAAUUUUUAUUUUUGGGAAGUAUAUUUUAAUUAUAGUACCUUUUGUAUCAGGGUUAAUUAAAUAUUUUUAAUUUAUUUUUAUUUCUCGAUUUCAAAAAAGCUAGGUUAAUAHUUUAGNUUAAGGGGUCAUNAUAAUUAUUAAUAAUAUAUUCUAGGUAAGAAAUUUUAUUCGGUUUUGAAGGUAUCUAGUUUUUUAAGAAUUAAAUUUAAUUUAUUUUUUUAAAUUAACUUUUGUAAUCUGUCAUAAGUUAUUUUGAAAAUAAAAAAUUAUAGGGGAUAAGCUCUAUAUUUUUCUAUAAAUAUUUUUUUAAUAAAAUUUUUGUAGGGUUAGAAUUAUCCAUCAAUUGAAAUUGUGUCAUAAUUUAUUUUUUUUAUUAAUUAAUUUUUUUUUUAUUUUUAGUAUUUUAUUAAAAUUUUAUAAUAAUCUUUGAAUUAUAGGUAAUAAUGAUUAAAUUAGUAUAAAUAUUUGUUUUUAAUUUUUUAUCAGUUAUGAUAGGGUAAGGAACUCGGCAAUAGUAAUUCUCGCCUGUUUAACAAAAACAUGUCCUUUUGAAUUUAAUAUAAGGUCUGGCCUGCCCGGUGAUAUUUUAACGGCCGCGGUAAAUUGACCGUGCAAAGGUAGCAUAAUCAUUAGUCUUUUAAUAGAAGGCUGGAAUGAAAGGUUUAACGAGGAAUUAACUGUCUCAUCUUAUUUGUUUUAAAAUUUAAUUUUUUAGUCAAAAAGCUAAAAUUUUAUUGGUAGACGAGAAGACCCUAUAGAUCUUCAUAAGAUUUUAUAUAUUUAUUAAUAUAUUACUGUAAUUAUAUGAUAUCUUAUUUUGUUGGGGUGAUAAAAAUAUAUAACUAACUUUUUUAUUUUUCGAACAUUAAUUUAUGAUUAAUAGAUCCGUAAUUUACGAUUAUUAGAACAAGUUACCUUAGGGAUAACAGCGUAAUCCUCCUCCAGAGUUCUUAUUUACAGGAUGGGCUUGCGACCUCGAUGUUGGAUUAAGAUAAUAAUUAGGUGUAGCCGCUUAAUAUAUAGGUCAGUUCGAC